Molecule: small nuclear RNA, 107 nt
Organism: Phodopus roborovskii (desert hamster)
Lineage: Eukaryota; Metazoa; Chordata; Mammalia; Rodentia; Cricetidae
Source: RefSeq, a predicted model, not a curated record
GUACUCACUUUGGCAGCACGUACACUAACAUUGGAACAAUACAGAGGAGAUUAGCAUGAACUCUGUGCAAGAAUGACAUGCAAAUUUGUGAAGCUUUCCAGAGAUAG